Lupinus albus (white lupine) is the source of this 283-nucleotide non-coding RNA. NCBI's taxonomy places the organism in Eukaryota, Viridiplantae, Streptophyta, Magnoliopsida, Fabales, Fabaceae. The record is from the annotation of a GenBank genome assembly.
CCUGAGUAAACCUCAAAGCCCUUGUGAUAACAGAAUCGUUCAUCAUCCAACAUGAGAGCUGAGGAUCACGACAAUUAGGCAAUUAUGGUCUUAUUAUUCGAGUUCCGGUGUUGAGGGUAGGCUUUUCUAGUUAAGGUGUAUGAAUAUUGAACUAAGACUAUUGGAUAUGUAUUAAGUUUACUUUUGAAAUAUGGGUCUGGAUCCUCUCCAGUACUUUACUGUUGAUCAUGAGGUCCAUAAAAUUCUAAAUAUUACAAAAUAAACUUUAAUUAAAAAUGAAUGA